Non-coding RNA from Nothobranchius furzeri (turquoise killifish), 1218 nucleotides. NCBI's taxonomy places the organism in Eukaryota, Metazoa, Chordata, Actinopteri, Cyprinodontiformes, Nothobranchiidae. The record is from the annotation of a RefSeq genome assembly.
GUGUCUUGCUAAAGGACACAACAGCAGAAUUUUCUGCCAGGAGCUGGGAUUGAUCCAGCAACCCUCCAUUGUCUGGGUAACCUGAUAAAUAUCCUGAGCUACUGCUGCCUCUGUGGGUGGAGCUCUGAAAAGAUGGGGUGUCAGGACCCCUUGUAAGGGUGAGUUGGUCCCUGAGUGACCAAAGCAAGACAAUAAUUUAAAAGAGAAACUAAAAAAAUGAAAAUGCACGAAACUACACCAGGUCACAUAAACAAUAAGACAUCUCCUGAACAAAAGAGUCAGUCACCUAAAACGCAAAGGUACCAAAGUUGGAGCCCUGAGGAACACCACAGGUCAAAGUGAGUGUUACCCAGGAUCCCUGUGUUUCCAACAGAGAAAAGGAGAUUCUUUAGACUCCUGUUCUGAAACAAGAACAAACCCCCUCACUUCACAAAGAUUUAUAAUGACGCUGAUAGCUGAACCAGGAGGAAGGGGAGCUGAGAGAAGAGAAACAACAGAUGAAGGAGGAGACGGAGAGAUUCAGGGAGGAGCUGAGCUGUUACUGAACUAUAGAACAGACGCAAACUUCCACAUUCAACACAGUUCAACAUACAAACAACAAACAUUCACUCUGUUCAACAUGGACUGUUGUGGGCUUUCUCUGCUGGUUGUCACUAUUCUAACAGGAGUCAGCUGUGAACAGCUGACUGCAGUGAAGAAUGAAGAGUCCAGUUUAGAAGGAGCCCAUGUUACUCUGUCCUACAAUUACUCUAGAGAUGCUGCUAUUGGUGAUUAUUUCUUCUGGUACCGGCAAGAUCCAGGAGAACCUCCAGAGUUCCUGAUCUCUCACACAGGAACAGAAACACUUCUAUUACAGAAAGUGUCUGGACUGAGUUUUACUGUGAGUGAUGAUAAAAGACGCGUGGACCUGCUGAUCUCCUCUGCUGCAGCGACAGACUCUGCUGUGUACUACUGUGCUGUGAGGCCCACAGUGACAGGAAACAGUAAAAGUGUGUAGAAAACCUGCAGAGCAAAGACAACACAAUACUCCACAACAUCCACUAGAGGGACUCACACAGUGGGAACCCACUGGUUGUUGAGUCGUUGGACUGAUGACAAAGACAACAGACACAUGAAGCAGCAGAAACAAGCCAUGGGCUCCACCAACAAGAUCAUCCAGGAACAGAGUGGAGUUGUUGCAGAGGGAACAGGCAUCAGCUUGAGCUGUGAGUACGACGG